UACCAGCACCUCGAGUGGUCAGGAGGUUUAUUGGGCCUAAAGCAUCCGUAGCCGGCUGUUCAAGUUUCCGGUUAAAUCCACACGCUUAACGUAUGGGCUGCCGGAAAUACUGUUCAGCUAGGGAGUGGGAGAGGUAGACGGUACUCGAUAGGAAGGGGUAAAAUCCUUUGAUCUAUUGAUGACACCUGUGGCGAAGGCGGUCUACCAGAACACGUUCGACGGUGAGGGAUGAAAGCUGGGGGAGCAAACCGGAUUAGAUACCCGGGUAGUCCCAGCUGUAAACGAUGCAGACUCGGUGAUGCAUUGGCUUGUGGCCAGUGCAGUGCCGCAGGGAAGCCGUUAAGUUUGCCGCCUGGGAAGUACGUACGCAAGUAUGAAACUUAAAGGAAUUGGCGGGGGAGCACCACAAGGGGUGAAGCCUGCGGUUCAAUUGGAGUCAACGCCAGAAAUCUUACCCGGGGAGACAGCAGAAUGAAGGUCAAGCUGAAGACUUUACCAGACAAGCUGAGAGGUGGUGCAUGGCCGUCGCCAGCUCGUGCCGUGAGAUGUCCUGUUAAGUCAGGUAACGAGCGAGACCCUUGCCUCUAGUUGCCACCAUUACUCUCUGGAGUAGUGGGGCGAAUUAGCGGGACCGCCACAGUUAAUGUGGAGGAAGGAGAGGGCCACGGCAGGUCAGUAUGCCCCGAAACC
RNAcentral lists this ribosomal RNA (690 nucleotides) under uncultured archaeon. RNAcentral describes it as "bacterial SSU rRNA". It matches the Rfam family "Archaeal small subunit ribosomal RNA", at positions 474 to 1163 of the family's 1478-position model. The record is from RNAcentral.